RNAcentral lists this ribosomal RNA (478 nucleotides) under uncultured bacterium. RNAcentral's name for it is "partial 16S ribosomal RNA". It matches the Rfam family "Bacterial small subunit ribosomal RNA", at positions 28 to 507 of the family's 1533-position model. The record is from RNAcentral.
GAUGAACGCUGGCGGCGUGCUUAACACAUGCAAGUCGAACGAGAAGUGAAGACGGAAACCUUCGGGCGGAAGGCUUUAUUUCGAGUGGCGGACGGGUGAGUAACGCGUGGGUAACCUGCCUCAUACAGGGGGAUAACAGUUGGAAACGACUGUUAAUACCGCAUAAGACCACAGCACCGCAUGGUGCGGGGGUAAAAACUCCGGCGGUAUGAGAUGGACCCGCGUUCGAUUAGCCAGUUGGCGGGGUAACGGCCCACCAAAGCGACGAUCGAUAGCCGAUCUGAGAGGAUGACCGGCCACAUUGGGACUGAGACACGGCCCAAACUCCUACGGGAGGCAGCAGUGGGGAAUAUUGCACAAUGGGGGAAACCCUGAUGCAGCGACGCCGCGUGAGUGAAGAAGUAUUUCGGUAUGUAAAGCUCUAUCAGCAGGGAAGAAAAUGACGGUACCUGAGUAAGAAGCCCCGGCUAACUACGUG